GCACUGCUGAGGAUCUUCAGAAGGUGUCUGCUGAUCUCAGGUCAUCCAUCUGGAAACAGAUGUCUGCCGCUGGGACUAAGUUCAUCCCUAGCAACACCUUUGCUCACUACGACCAGGUUCUUGACACCACCGCCAUGCUCGGUGCUGUUCCACCUAGGUAUGGAUACACUGGUGGUGAGAUCGGCCUUGAUGUUUACUUCUCCAUGGCUAGAGGAAAUGCCUCUGUGCCUGCCAUGGAAAUGACCAAGUGGUUCGACACCAACUAGUGAGUCUUCAUUGAUCUCUUGUGUUCUUUUUGUUGACAUUGGUCUUUUUGAGUUGUGGACUAAUUUGAUUAUGCUUUUGUUGAUGCAGCCAUUACAUCGUCCCUGAGUUGGGCCCUGAGGUUAACUUCUCUUACGCAUCCCACAAGGCGGUGAAUGAGUACAAGGAGGCCAAGGCUGUACGUAUCAUUCUUUACUAAUAUCCGUUUCUUAGGAAAUUACUGUUUGCUCGUCUAAUUAACUAUUAGAGAUCAUAGGCUUUAGUUUGAGGAUAUAGUGUUUAAGCUUAGAUUCAUUGAGUGGUGUUUCACUGAGGAUGCUAAUAUGCUAGGAAGGUCUCGGAUGCAUUGAAUAUAAAAACCGUUAGAAAAGUCAUCUGGCACUGGUUGUCUAAAGUAGUUUUUUUUUCUACGAAGUUCUGAUCUGGUUUACUUGAUGUUUAUGCAGCUUGGUGUUGACACCGUCCCUGUACUUGUUGGCCCAGUCUCUUACUUGCUGCUUUCCAAGGCUGCCAAGGGUGUUGACAAGUCAUUCGAACUUCUUUCUCUUCUCCCUAAGAUUCUCCCGAUCUACAAGUAAGAAAUCACUUUAUUGUUUUUCUUUAUUAUGCCAUCCGUAUCCUUGAUGUUAUCAAUGAUCCUCUGACAUACCACUGAUAUAAUGACUUUGAUUUGUGUACAGGGAAGUGAUUACCGAGCUUAAGGCUGCUGGUGCCACCUGGAUUCAGCUUGACGAGCCUGUCCUUGUUAUGGAUCUUGAGGGUCAGAAACUCCAGGCCUUUACUGGUGCCUAUGCUGAACUUGAAUCAACUCUUUCUGGUUUGAAUGUUCUUGUCGAGACCUACUUCGCUGAUAUCCCUGCUGAGGCAUACAAGACCCUAACCUCAUUGAAGGGUGUGACUGCCUUUGGAUUUGAUUUGGUUCGUGGCACCAAGACCCUUGAUUUGGUCAAGGCAGGUUUCCCUGAGGGAAAGUACCUCUUUGCUGGUGUUGUUGAUGGAAGGAACAUCUGGGCCAACGACUUUGCUGCGUCCCUAAGCACCUUGCAGGCACUUGAAGGCAUUGUUGGUAA
Molecule: long non-coding RNA, 1334 nt
Filed under: Arabidopsis thaliana (thale cress)
Lineage: Eukaryota; Viridiplantae; Streptophyta; Magnoliopsida; Brassicales; Brassicaceae
Description: long non-coding RNA (ATHA_LNC000387)
Source: RNAcentral